Manduca sexta (tobacco hornworm) is the source of this 656-nucleotide long non-coding RNA. RefSeq lists it as uncharacterized. The record is from RefSeq and is a predicted model, not a curated record. NCBI's taxonomy places the organism in Eukaryota, Metazoa, Arthropoda, Insecta, Lepidoptera, Sphingidae. The transcript has 2 exons.
UAGAAGCGAAAUCAUCCGAUUCUAAAUCGACCUGGCAACGAGGAACGGCAACCAACAUCGCCCCCAAGAUUUGCUACAACUGCCGUAAGACUGGACAUGAAAUUCGGGACUGCAAAUCCGUGCGCUGCCAAAUUUGUCAACGGCUGGGCCACUCUGCCACGUCUUGCUGGUAUGCUGCCGGGACAUCUCAGACCGUCCCUAGGACAGCACAAUACACCACGACUCAGCAGCAAGGAAUACAGGCACCUCAGCGGCCAAUGCAGCUCCCAAAAAUGGGAGACAAUCCGAUUGAUCGCCGUGGGCCACGGCAGCUGCAGGAUGGCCGAAUGUAAUAAGUUUUACUCAAUAACCCGUAUGUUUCGGAUGAGGUGUAAAUAUAUAUCUUGUAAUUUCCCCUAUUAUUAUAUAAAAUAUUAUUAUUAUUAAUUUAGCAUAAGUAUGACACCAAUGAGGUUUAUGUCUAAUUAUAAAUAUAUCUAACAAUGUAGUGAAUUAAUUAUAUUAAGAAUUAUUAUGUUGGUAACUCUCAAUUGCAAUUGUUUAUUUAAUAUUUUCUUGUUGGCAACACUGCAUUGAAAUUGUUUAUAAAAUAGGGUGCAACAGUCAUUUGAGCCCUCUUGUAUUGUGGAUCGCCUAAUAAACAACACCUCUUGGCA